CCUACGGGCGGCAGCAGUAGGGAAUCUUCCACAAUGGGCGAAAGCCUGAUGGAGCAACGCCGCGUGGGUGAAGAAGGUCUUCGGAUCGUAAAACCCUGUUGUUAGAGAAGAAAGUGCGUGAGAGUAACUGUUCACGUUUCGACGGUAUCUAACCAGAAAGCCACGGCUAACUACGUGCCAGCAGCCGCGGUAAUACGUAGGUGGCAAGCGUUAUCCGGAGUUAUUGGGCGUAAAGGUAACGCAGCCGGUCAUUUAAGUCUGACGUGAAAGCCGUCGGCUUAACCGGAGUAGUGCAUUGGAAACUGGGAGGCUGGAGUGCAGAAGAGGAGAGUGGAACUCCAUGUGUAGCGGUGAAAUGCGUAGAUAUAUGGAAGAACACCAGUGGCGAAAGCGGCUCACUGGACUGUAACUGACGCUGAGGUUCGAAAGCGUGGGUAUCAAACAGGAUUAGAUACCCGAGUAGUC
This 465-nucleotide ribosomal RNA is filed under the name uncultured bacterium. RNAcentral describes it as "partial 16S ribosomal RNA". It matches the Rfam family "Bacterial small subunit ribosomal RNA", at positions 338 to 795 of the family's 1533-position model. The record is from RNAcentral.